Molecule: long non-coding RNA, 1271 nt
Organism: Homo sapiens (human)
Lineage: Eukaryota; Metazoa; Chordata; Mammalia; Primates; Hominidae
Product: long intergenic non-protein coding RNA 1198
Source: Ensembl
AGUCUACAAAACCCCACAUCCCCUGAGAAUUCUCUCGCCUGCCUUAGGCACUUAGGCUCCGGGAGAUUGCAAAUAACCUGCUUUCUUUCUGUUCCCGGGCUGCGUUCGGACUCCUGUCAGAUAGUAAAUCCUAAGUAAGGUACCUGCCAUCGGCAGAUUUGAGCUUUCUUCUUGGACACCUAAUACCCACAGUCCUCCAAGUGGCGUCGGACCCCUGUCAGAGAGUAAAUCUCAAGUAAGGUACCUGCCAUCGGCAGAUUUGAGCUUUCUUCUUGGACACCUAAUACCCACAGUCCUCCAGGCUCCGGUAGACUGCAAAUGACCUGCUUUCUUUCUGUUCCCGGGCUGCGUUUGGACCCCUGUCGGAUAGUAAAUCCCAAGUAAGGUACCUGCCCUCGGCAGAUUUGAGCUUUCUUCUUGGACACCUAAUACCCACAGUCCCCCAGGCUCCGGUAGACUGCAAAUGACCUGCUUUCUUUCUGUUCCCGGGCUGCGUUUGGACCCCUGUCGGACAGUAAAUCCCAAGUAAGGUACCUGCCCUCGGCAGAUUUGAGCUUUCUUCUUGGACACCUAAUACCCACAGUCCUCCAGGAAUGGAACAGAUAAGAAGAUACUGAAAUUGGACGGUGCUGCCGUGCGGCUGCCGCAGGACACCUUUAAUAUCCCUGUUUCUCAGGCUGUAGAUGAAGGGGUUCAGCAUGGAGGUGAUCACCGUGUACAUCACUGAGGCCACUGCAGCCUUUCUCGGGGAAGAUGACACAUCUGAACUGAGGUACCCUCCAAAGCCUGUUCCGUAAAAUCAGCAAACAACUGACAGGAUAACUUCAGGAAGUGGGUAUUAAUUCUCACGGUAUAAGUGAAGACAUUAAGCACCAGAGUUUAAGUAGCUUGAUCCACUGAAAGAGAUUCAACUGUGUGGAACCUAUGCCGUGGAGAAUUGCUUUCUGCCAUUGUUAUCGUCCAGCAGUUGCCGAAUAGCUCUGACCUGAGCAAAGCAGUGAAACGCGGUGCUGUUGAGUGGGUUGCCACUGCACCUUUUUCAACUACUCUAGUCUUGUGGAGAAAAUACCCCUUCUAAAUUUUUUCUUCAUUGAAUACUCUCCCUCAGCUCCAGAGUACCAUAUAGAGUUUUCUUGUAUUUUAGAGUUACUGUUUUAUCAAAGUUUACCAGUCUUUUGUAUUACAUUUCUCCUGUCUAAAUCGACUGUGUGGUUUCUACUCAUUAUGGAUAUAGAUUGAUACAAACUCAAUAAAUAUUUUUGAAUGAAUAA